This 407-nucleotide ribosomal RNA is filed under the name uncultured bacterium. RNAcentral's name for it is "partial 16S ribosomal RNA". It matches the Rfam family "Bacterial small subunit ribosomal RNA", at positions 28 to 526 of the family's 1533-position model. The record is from RNAcentral.
GACGAACGCUGGCGGCGUGCUUAACACAUGCAAGUCGAACGAAGUGGCGAACGGGUGAGUAACGCGUAAUCAACCUGCCCUUCAGAGGGGGACAACAGUUGGAAACGACUGCUAAUACCGCAUACUGAAGGAGGGGAUUGCGUCUGAUUAGCUAGUUGGAGGGGUAACGGCCCACCAAGGCGAUGAUCAGUAGCCGGCUGGAGGGGAUGAACGGCCAAAUUGGGACGGAGAAACGCCCAAGACUCCUACGGUAGCAGGAGGUGGGAAAUCUUCCGAAAUGGACGAAGUUCUGACGGGUAAACGCCGCUGAGGGGUGGCGGGCUUUCGGGUUUUAAGGCUCGGUAAUUCGGGAGGCGUUACCGAAAAGGAAGCCACGGCUAACUACGUGCCAGCAGCCGCGGUAAUUC